CCUACGGGAGGCAGCAGUGGGGAAUAUUGGGCAAUGGGCGAAAGCCUGACCCAGCAACGCCGCGUGAAGGAAGAAGGCUUUCGGGUUGUAAACUUCUUUUGACAGGGAAGAGCAGAAGACGGUACCUGUCGAAUAAGCCACGGCUAACUACGUGCCAGCAGCCGCGGUAAUACGUAGGUGGCAAGCGUUGUCCGGAUUUACUGGGUGUAAAGGGCGUGUAGCCGGGCUGACAAGUCAGAUGUGAAAUCCGGGGGCUCAACCCCCGAACUGCGUGGCUGGAGUGCAGGAGGGGCAGGCGGAAUUCCUGGUGUAGCGGUGAAAUGCGUAGAUAUCAGGAGGAACACCGGUGGCGAAGGCGGCCUGCUGGACUGCAACUGACGUUGAGGCCCGAAAGCGUGGGGAGCAAACAGGAUUAGAUACCCUUGUAGUC
This 430-nucleotide ribosomal RNA is filed under the name uncultured bacterium. RNAcentral describes it as "partial 16S ribosomal RNA". It matches the Rfam family "Bacterial small subunit ribosomal RNA", at positions 338 to 795 of the family's 1533-position model. The record is from RNAcentral.